RNAcentral lists this long non-coding RNA (1083 nucleotides) under Dasypus novemcinctus (nine-banded armadillo). Its description in RNAcentral is "lncRNA (ENSDNOG00000050874.1)". The record is from RNAcentral. Lineage: Eukaryota; Metazoa; Chordata; Mammalia; Cingulata; Dasypodidae.
UGCAAAAGGCAGGCACAGCCCCCAGCCCACGUGCAGGUGGGGGCUCUUCCUGCUCCGCCACCCAGUGGCCCCGGAAGUCGUGGGGGGGGGACCCCCGAUUCCUUCUGCAGGCGUCGUGUGAGGUGCUCUCUCACAGAAACUCCUGGCCCUGUGGCAUCUGUUACGUGGUCCAGAUUUUAUCUCACCCUUCAAGUAGGGAAAAGGGAAUGACCUGUCACCCAGUUUGUUAGUUGAAGGACCUGAGCCCUUAUCCUCCAAAGUCAACCAAUGCCCUCCAACCCUGGACCCCCACUCCGGCUGGCCAGACCUGCGCUCGCCAUAGCCCGAGCCCUGGAGGGAGCUGCGGCCGCACAACACAGGGCUACCGUGACAAAGGUGACAGUGUGGGAAGCUCACAAGAGACGGCCGUGACACGCGGGAAAUGUCCGUGGGGGAAAAAAAAUAAAGGGAAAGCAUCGCCUAUGUGGCAAGCCCGCCUGAGGGACCUGGCCCAGCUCCUGCCCUGGCUGUGCUCUGUGCUCACGUGGGGAUAAACCGGCCCUGCUCUGCCAUUCACCUGCCCACACAUGUGGUGGAAUUGGGUGUGGGCCGUGGGAGGGCAGGGAGAGGGCUGGGCACGCACAUGCUGCAAUAACUCCCCAGGUAAGUUGUCGAUGCCUCCCUCCCCACCGUGAGUUGAGAACCCGCGACCUGGCCCGAGCUGGAACAUGGUAAAGUAAAUUAUCACGGGUGGUUGGAACUAAAAUUCCAUUCAGUCUGGGGGAAAAAAAAAAAAAAAACAAGAAAAACCCCAACAUAAAAAAAAAAACUAACUCAUUUCACAAAUGAGGAAACAGAUGCCCAGGGGAAUGAAAUGACUUUCUCAAAGUCACACGGCUGGUUUCUGGAGAUGCUGGAAAAAUAAUGCUUGUUUUCUGCGUGUCCCGUCUGAGCGCUCUUUCUGCCUCCCCUGCUGCCCCGCAGUCUAUCUGACGUCGCCAGUGAGCAUGCCUGUCCCUCAACCUCUUUGGGCCUCGGUUUUCCCAUCUGCAAAUCAAGGCACUUGGGUUUGACAGUUUCUGAGAACCAAUACGAAGUGACCCC